Molecule: ribosomal RNA, 1322 nt
Filed under: Bacteroides fragilis
Lineage: Bacteria; Pseudomonadati; Bacteroidota; Bacteroidia; Bacteroidales; Bacteroidaceae
Description: bacterial SSU rRNA
Rfam family: Bacterial small subunit ribosomal RNA
Source: RNAcentral
AUUAUUAAAGGAUUCCGGUAAAGGAUGGGGAUGCGUUCCAUUAGGUUGUUGGUGAGGUAACGGCUCACCAAGCCUUCGAUGGAUAGGGGUUCUGAGAGGAAGGUCCCCCACAUUGGAACUGAGACACGGUCCAAACUCCUACGGGAGGCAGCAGUGAGGAAUAUUGGUCAAUGGGCGUGAGCCUGAACCAGCCAAGUAGCGUGAAGGAUGACUGCCCUAUGGGUUGUAAACUUCUUUUAUAUUAGAAUAAAGUGCAGUAUGUAUACUGUUUUGUAUGUAUAAUAUGAAUAAGGAUCGGCUAACUCCGUGCCAGCAGCCGCGGUAAUACGGAGGAUCCGAGCGUUAUCCGGAUUUAUUGGGUUUAAAGGGAGCGUAGGUGGACUGGUAAGUCAGUUGUGAAAGUUUGCGGCUCAACCGUAAAAUUGCAGUUGAUACUGUCAGUCUUGAGUACAGUAGAGGUGGGCGGAAUUCGUGGUGUAGCGGUGAAAUGCUUAGAUAUCACGAAGAACUCCGAUUGCGAAGGCAGCUCACUGGACUGCAACUGACACUGAUGCUCGAAAGUGUGGGUAUCAAACAGGAUUAGAUACCCUGGUAGUCCACACAGUAAACGAUGAAUACUCGCUGUUUGCGAUAUACAGUAAGCGGCCAAGCGAAAGCAUUAAGUAUUCCACCUGGGGAGUACGCCGGCAACGGUGAAACUCAAAGGAAUUGACGGGGGCCCGCACAAGCGGAGGAACAUGUGGUUUAAUUCGAUGAUACGCGAGGAACCUUACCCGGGCUUAAAUUGCAGUGGAAUGAUGUGGAAACAUGUCAGUGAGCAAUCACCGCUGUGAAGGUGCUGCAUGGUUGUCGUCAGCUCGUGCCGUGAGGUGUCGGCUUAAGUGCCAUAACGAGCGCAACCCUUAUCUUUAGUUACUAACAGGUCAUGCUGAGGACUCUGGAGAGACUGCCGUCGUAAGAUGUGAGGAAGGUGGGGAUGACGUCAAAUCAGCACGGCCCUUACGUCCGGGGCUACACACGUGUUACAAUGGGGGGUACAGAAGGCAGCUACCUGGUGACAGGAUGCUAAUCCCAAAAGCCUCUCUCAGUUCGGAUCGAAGUCUGCAACCCGACUUCGUGAAGCUGGAUUCGCUAGUAAUCGCGCAUCAGCCACGGCGCGGUGAAUACGUUCCCGGGCCUUGUACACACCGCCCGUCAAGCCAUGGGAGCCGGGGGUACCUGAAGUACGUAACCGCAAGGAGCGUCCUAGGGUAAAACUGGUGACUGGGGCUAAGUCGUAACAAGGUAGCCGUACCGGAAGGUGCGGCUGGAACACCUCCUUU